Molecule: long non-coding RNA, 1956 nt
Organism: Lycium ferocissimum
Lineage: Eukaryota; Viridiplantae; Streptophyta; Magnoliopsida; Solanales; Solanaceae
Exons: 2
Source: RefSeq, a predicted model, not a curated record
CCCUCUCCCAUCACCGCCGGUUCGAUCGACGGACCAGCGUACAAAAGCCAUCCUCGACGCCACCGCCAUCAUGUCCCUUCAAUCCCCUCUCCCUCUCUAUGAUACUAUGGAGCCAUUAAUGCUCUGCAAACUAGCCUGUUCAACCUCCAAACAGGAAAAACGUGACAAUCUUGCAAAUACAAGGACGAUUGAAUGGAUAAAAAAACCUCACCCUACCUUCAGAGCUUGGUUUGCUGAAAAAUCUUUCGGACUUUCGGUUUCAACGGUCUCAACCUUUCAAAUCAUCUCUGAAAAAGUUCUCGGCUGAACAAGGAUUGCUUGAAGCGGAUUCGGAGACUCGACGACGACAUUAGCCUCAGUCCGUUGUCCCGGAGAAGGUCGGUAAUCACAUUCGUCUUCUCUUCGUCUUUAAUUCUGUAGAAGUCAAAAUAUAGUCAUUUUGUUGUUCUUAGCAUUCUUUGGAGUUCGCUUGUUCAAAUCUGCCUACACUUUAGUUUCUAUAAACAAGCAUGAAAUGGUUGUGGCAAUCUAUUAGCGUUUAAAGAAAAUGAUCGUUUAGCUUGGUGAAUACAUGAAUAGUAGUGUCGCUUCUCUAAAAAUCUGUUUGUGGCAUCCCUUAGGGGAUUGUUUUAUCAUGUAAAAUCAAGCAUGUAAAAUGGCUAAAAUAAAUCAUAAACUCAAAACAAAUGUCCUGAUUCGUUGGUAGUCAAUACUAGUCUAUACAUAUAGGUUCGAAUAAUCAUUUUGUUUCCAUUAGUUUGAAUCUGUCUACAUCCCGUAAUCUUUUUUUUCUUUUUCUUUUUUUACCAUUAAGGCUGUAGCUAUAGAUGGCUUGAAUCAUGUUUUAUCCUUCAUUCAUGUCUUCAAAACCAGUUCUAGUAUGGAUCAAUAUUAAGAUGUUUGUGUCAAAUAGUUGUUUUCUACUUUCAUUUGGACAUGAGCAUGAAACAUUAUUUGUUUAAGGGCAUUGAAAGGUUAGCGUUGUCCCUGUUUUAGUUAGCUUAAAUAAAAUGGUUGAUAACAUAGCUGCUGCUAAUACGAUUUCCUAAAGCUCUACUGUAAAAUCCAUUUAGACCUUAUGACUAAAAAAUAUCAUGCCUUGGCUGAAGAUUGAGUUAAGUAGAGGUUAAGCUAACAAUUGAUUUAUUGGCUUUCUAUUUUGUUUAAACCUUGUUAAGUUAGUAGUUUUUUUUAUUUUUUUUAUUUUUUUAUUUUUGGUGUGAACGUGAAUAGGCGUAGGCUCAAAUCUGAAUCUUUCAUUCAAAACUUAGUCCCCAUGUUCAUUUAGUUUAGAAUUGUUGGUGGUUUAGUUAGCCAAAUCCUUAAAAUAGUUUACUUCCUACCUUGAAAACUGUUUUCAUCUUUUAUUUUCAAUCUGUUUUUCCUUUAAGACAACGGGAGAAUGAAUUUGCGUAGGCUAAGUUGUUUUCCUUGGGAUUUUUGAUCAAAAUUAGGUGUUGCGUUCCUUGUUUAAAGUUUUAAUCUUUUUCUUUAGAAAACACAGGUUGUGCUUUAACUAAUAAGUGGAAACUUAGUUUUAACAGUUGGUAUGAACUUGGAGGGGUGGCUCUGAGAUUAGUGUUUUACUUCUAUUUUGAGGAUUGAACCCUGUUUUUUUCCUCUUUAACUGAUAGGAAAAUUAUAAUUUAAACAAGUAAAGUCUUUUCUUUUCCUUGAAUCAACUGCUUUGUCCCCCCCCCCCCCCCCCCCUUUUUUUUUUUGACUGACUGCUUCUCUUCACUAGGAUUCUGCACUUAAAAACCUGGUUAUAUAAUUCGUAAAAUUACCAAUUGAUAAUGCUUGGAAUAGGUGCAGGAUAUGAACCAUUUACAUGUAUAAGUCCAGACCGUGUUGUGUCCUAAUAUAAAUGCUUGAAAGAUCUCUCUUGUGUUUGCCGUGUUCUGUUUCUAAGAUAUGAAUUCAUUUAUCACCUUAGCUAAAACUAGAGUGUAAUGA